Molecule: ribosomal RNA, 455 nt
Filed under: uncultured bacterium
Lineage: Bacteria
Description: bacterial SSU rRNA
Rfam family: Bacterial small subunit ribosomal RNA
Source: RNAcentral
UACGGAAGGCAGCAGUGGGGAAUAUUGCACAAUGGGCGAAAGCCUGAUGCAGCUAUGCCGCGUGUAUGAAGAAGGCCUUAGAGUUGUAAAGUACUUUCAUCGGGGAGGAAAAAACAAAACUAAUAAUUUUAUUUCUUGACGUUACCCGAAAAAGAAGCACCGGCUAACUCCGUGCCAGCAGCCGCGGUAAUACGGAGGGUGCUAGCGUUAAUCAGAAUUACUGGGCGUAAAGAGCACGUAGGUGGUUUUUUAAGUCAGAUGUGAAAUCCCUGGGCUUAACCUAGGAACUGCAUUUUGAAACUGAAAUACUAGAGUAUCGUAGAGGGAGGUAGAAUUCUAGGUGUAGCGGUGAAAUGCGUAGAUAUCUGGAGGAAUACCUGUGGCGAAAGCGGCCUCCUAAACGAAUACUGACACUGAGGUGCGAAAGCGUGGGGAGCAAACAGGGAUUAGAUACC